Small nuclear RNA from Pygocentrus nattereri (red-bellied piranha), 177 nucleotides. Its record names the gene U2. It matches the Rfam family "U2 spliceosomal RNA". Rfam says of the family: U2 is a small nuclear RNA (snRNA) component of the spliceosome (involved in pre-mRNA splicing). Complementary binding between U2 snRNA (in an area lying towards the 5' end but 3' to hairpin I) and the branchpoint sequence (BPS) of the intron results the bulging out of an unpaired adenosine, on the BPS, which initiates a nucleophilic attack at the intronic 5' splice site, thus starting the first of two transesterification reactions that mediate splicing. The record is from Ensembl. Lineage: Eukaryota; Metazoa; Chordata; Actinopteri; Characiformes; Serrasalmidae.
AUUGCUUCUCGGCCUUUUGGCUAAGAUCAAGUGUAGUAUCUGUUCUUAUCAGUUUAAUAUCUGAUACGUCCUCUAUAUGAGGACUACAUAUUAAAUUAAAGACAGAAGAGGGGCUUACUCCGUCCGCUCCUUGCAUCGACUUGGUAUUGCAGUACCUCCGGGAACAUUAUGGGCUAG